RNAcentral lists this ribosomal RNA (417 nucleotides) under uncultured bacterium. Its description in RNAcentral is "bacterial SSU rRNA". It matches the Rfam family "Bacterial small subunit ribosomal RNA", at positions 508 to 921 of the family's 1533-position model. The record is from RNAcentral.
CCAGCCGCCGCGGUAAUACGUAGGGUGCAAGCGUUGUCCGGAAUUAUUGGGCGUAAAGAGCUCGUAGGCGGUUUGUCGCGUCUGCUGUGAAAACUCGGGGCUUAACUCCGGGCCUGCAGUGGGUACGGGCAGACUAGAGUGCGGUAGGGGAGACUGGAAUUCCUGGUGUAGCGGUGAAAUGCGCAGAUAUCAGGAGGAACACCGGUGGCGAAGGCGGGUCUCUGGGCCGUAACUGACGCUGAGGAGCGAAAGCGUGGGGAGCGAACAGGAUUAGAUACCCUGGUAGUCCACGCCGUAAACGUUGGGCGCUAGGUGUGGGGUCCGAUUCCACGGGUUCCGUGCCGCAGCAAACGCAUUAAGCGCCCCGCCUGGGGAGUACGGCCGCAAGGCUAAAACUUAAGGGAAUUGGCGGGGGAC